UACGUAGGGUGCGAGCGUUGUCCGGAAUUAUUGGGCGUAAAGGGUGCGUAGGCGGCGUGGUAAGUCUGGUGUGAAAGGCGGGGGCUCAACCCUCGGACUGCAUUGGAUACUGCCAUGCUAGAAGACUGGAGAGGAGAAUGGAAUUCACGGUGGAGCAGUGAAAUGCGUAGAUAUCGUGAGGAAGGCCAGUGGCGAAGGCGAUUCUCUGGACAGUACUUGACGCUGAGGCACGAAGGCUGGGGGAGCGAACAGG
RNAcentral lists this ribosomal RNA (253 nucleotides) under uncultured bacterium. Its description in RNAcentral is "partial 16S ribosomal RNA". It matches the Rfam family "Bacterial small subunit ribosomal RNA", at positions 524 to 776 of the family's 1533-position model. The record is from RNAcentral.